Molecule: long non-coding RNA, 775 nt
Filed under: Ixodes scapularis (black-legged tick)
Lineage: Eukaryota; Metazoa; Arthropoda; Arachnida; Ixodida; Ixodidae
Description: uncharacterized LOC115331800, transcript variant X1
Source: RNAcentral
GGAGCCAAAAUGUCGAAGAGAGGGUUGCAGAUUGGCAUCUGACAUUUUGUUCCAAAGUGUACAUUUAACACAUUGAAAAACAAUAUAUAUUACAGGUCAAAAUCUUGGCUCGACUAUGCCAAGAGGUAUGAUCUUCUUGGAAAGUCUGCUUCGCAACACUAUGCCACCUAUCGCGUCUGCAGUGAUCACUUCACUGCAAAAGAUUUUAUGGACCCAGGGCAAACAACCCUAGUGCGAUCAGCUGUGCCUACUGUUCGUCCUCCCAUAAACUGGGCAUCUGCAAUAGGUCCCACUCAGGCAACCAGCUCAUCUGGCCCUUCACUCCAGUGCAGCUCCGUCGCAGCGAGCCGUUCUGUGCUUGCUAACAGGUUAUCUCGUCAUGGUGCACCUUUCCAGACCAGGCAGAGCCCGACAGACUGCAGAAUUCACCACUUCCAUGUAGCUCCGCAGUAAUGCACUCUGCAGCACUCGACCCAAGUCAGGCAACCAGCUCUUCUGGUCUUUUCGCUGGCCACUGUGGUCCAGGUCAACACUCUGGUCCAAACCAUCCUGCACCUGUUUUCCGCAAGCUCACGAAAAGGCCCGAGGACGUUAUCAAGCGACUCCAGGCGAGAAUUUCCAGCUACAGAAAGGCGAUAGCCAGACUGCGGAAACAGCAGCUGAAGACGCCUCAGACAGCUUCUCAAGCUCUGGAAAUAAUUCGGCCUCAUGUUUCUGAAGAGGUAUUUCACCUCAUAUCAUCGCAUGUAAAGAAUAGGUCGAAGGGCAAGGGGAA